This 406-nucleotide ribosomal RNA is filed under the name Microbacterium insulae. Its description in RNAcentral is "bacterial SSU rRNA". It matches the Rfam family "Bacterial small subunit ribosomal RNA", at positions 1003 to 1385 of the family's 1533-position model. Lineage: Bacteria; Bacillati; Actinomycetota; Actinomycetes; Micrococcales; Microbacteriaceae. The record is from RNAcentral.
GACUUGGGUAGGUACCUCUUUGGGACACUCGUGAACAGGUGGUGCAUGGUUGUCGUCAGCUCGUGUCGUGAGAUGUUGGGUUAAGUCCCGCAACGAGCGCAACCCUCGUUCUAUGUUGCCAGCACGUAAUGGUGGGAACUCAUGGGAUACUGCCGGGGUCAACUCGGAGGAAGGUGGGGAUGACGUCAAAUCAUCAUGCCCCUUAUGUCUUGGGCUUCACGCAUGCUACAAUGGCCGGUACAAAGGGCUGCAAUACCGUGAGGUGGAGCGAAUCCCAAAAAGCCGGUCCCAGUUCGGAUUGAGGUCUGCAACUCGACCUCAUGAAGUCGGAGUCGCUAGUAAUCGCAGAUCAGCAACGCUGCGGUGAAUACGUUCCCCGGCCUUGUAACACCGAGGACUUGCAGCA